Long non-coding RNA from Rhipicephalus microplus (southern cattle tick), 224 nucleotides. NCBI's taxonomy places the organism in Eukaryota, Metazoa, Arthropoda, Arachnida, Ixodida, Ixodidae. The record is from RefSeq and is a predicted model, not a curated record.
GUUCGAGGAAGCAAUGGCAGUCAUGGAAAUUCCUGCUAUGAGCAAAGGGGCUUUUCUACGCCGGGAGGAGUCCCUGGGAAAGUGCUGGAAAACCGUCCUUUUUGACCAAAUGAUAAAAGCCGGAAAAGAAGAAAAAAAACUCGCGGAAGAAGCUGGGGCUUUCUGUGAGGAUGGCAUAACCCCCUAUAUUACAGUGAUUGUCGAUGGUGGGUGGUCACACCGCA